CCCCUCCCCCGGCGCCCCCGCCCCGGCCGCGCGGCCCCCAACUGCCGCCCGCCCGCCGGCAGGGAGCGGCUCCCAUCGCCGCCCAGGCGUUAGCGAAAAUCGCGCGCACAGAGAGGAGCUUUCUCCUCUGCUAAAAAUAGGCUAUAAAGGAGUCGGCCUCAUGAUGGCUCCUUGAUUCAAUUUGCUGCAAAUUCUUUCCUGAAAGCCUUCCCCGCCUCACAUCCACACGCACAAAAAGGGGGGUGUCGAGGCACGAAGGGCGCGAGAGGGGGAGCAGGCCGAGGUGCACAUUUUCGGGAGACAACAACAACAUAAUUAGGGUGAAUGCUUUGAAAAGUGGCCAAAAGCAAAGAGAAGACAAGAGUCCCUCAAGGUUGAGGAAGAUGGUGGUCUUUGGCUUCUCUCCAAGUAGUGGCACACUUGCUCAGCCCCUGUGAGAGAAGGAGAGGAGUCACUUUGUGGUGUGCCUAGAGAGGCUGGAUAUUACACUCUGGAGCUCUCAGCCCUGGCAAAGACGCCUGUGCCGAGCUUGGCAGGAGUCAGCAGAGCUGCCUGACCUUAAGUGAUCCGAAGAGCUUGGAUGCUGAGCACAUGCAUGGUGAUUAGUAUGAACUGAAAACAAGCGGACUCCAUCUAAGUGACAUGCUCUGGCAGCUGCAUCCAAGGGGGAAGUUUGCCAUGGAAACACAGGAAGUAUCAGAGCUGGGCAACAAGGGAAGCUUUUCUUAUAG
Molecule: long non-coding RNA, 731 nt
Filed under: Heterocephalus glaber (naked mole-rat)
Lineage: Eukaryota; Metazoa; Chordata; Mammalia; Rodentia; Bathyergidae
Description: lncRNA (ENSHGLG00000026136.2)
Source: RNAcentral